RNAcentral lists this ribosomal RNA (406 nucleotides) under uncultured bacterium. Its description in RNAcentral is "partial 16S ribosomal RNA". It matches the Rfam family "Bacterial small subunit ribosomal RNA", at positions 30 to 526 of the family's 1533-position model. The record is from RNAcentral.
AUUGAACGCUGGCGGCAGGCCUAACACAUGCAAGUCGAACGAGUGGCGGACGGGUGAGUAAUGUCUGGGAAACUGCCUGAUGGAGGGGGAUAACUACUGGAAACGGUAGCUAAUACCGCAUACCAUCGGAUGUGCCCAGAUGGGCUUAGCUAGUAGGUUGGGUAAAGGGUCACCUAGGCGAAGAUCCCUAGCUGGUCUGAGAGGAUGACAAGCCACACUGGAACUGAGACAAGGCGCAGACUCCUACGUGAGGCAGAAGGGGGGAAUAUGGCACAAUGGGCGACAGCCUGAUGCAGCCAUGCCGCGUGUAUGAAGAAGGCCUUCGGGUUGUAAAGUACUUUCAGCGGGGAGGCGUUACCCGCAGAAGAAGCACAGGCUAAAUCCGUGCCAGCCGCCGCGGUAAUUC